Molecule: ribosomal RNA, 253 nt
Filed under: uncultured bacterium
Lineage: Bacteria
Description: partial 16S ribosomal RNA
Rfam family: Bacterial small subunit ribosomal RNA
Source: RNAcentral
UACGAAGGGGGCGAGCGUUGUUCGGAUUUACUGGGCGUAAAGGGCGCGCAGGCGGCGCAUUUUGUCAGGCGUGAAAGCCCCGGGCUUAACCUGGGAACUGCGUUUGAUACGGAUGGGCUAGAGUUCGGGAGAGGAGAGUGGAAUUCCCAGUGUAGAGGUGAAAUUCGUAGAGAUCGGCAGGAACACCCAGGGGGAAACCAGUCGACUGGGCAUCUACUGACGCUGAGGUGCGAGAGCGUGGGGAGCGAACCGG